AAAAAACACUCCAAUGGCUCACACUUGUCUAUGCACAAGUCCAUCCUUGAACUCCCAGAGAAAGACAUCCAUUUAGGUAAGGCUAACAAGGCUUUAAAUUGAAAAGUAAUUUCAUAAAGUUUUACACAUCACAAGAUCCUUCCCCCCCCUCCAAUCAUAUCCCUAUAAAGAUCAACACCGUACAUGGUUGAACUCUUAUUCAGACCAUUCAGUAAAGUUCUGAUCUCCUUUUACAACUAUGGUUAUAAACUAAGCCAAGAUGAAGAAAAGCCCAAGCUUAUCCCAAACUUUCUUUGAUGUGCUCAAGCCUAUGCUCAAACCAAAUUGUUUUUAAAGCAUGUGUCCAAACUGAACGGCCCAAAUUAUUUGACCAGUAAUGUUCCCCCAUUUGCUUGUAAUCUCUCCUUGUUCCUAUAGCCUCAUGUUUAAAUUGACUUAAAAAAUGAAUUGCUUUGAUUCAGGCCAGUGUUGUCAAAGGUGCUUGAGGCACACAAGCGCAGUGAGGAAAUACCUCAGUGGCAGCUUCUUUAGACAAAUCAGGUGGGCCGCAUUUUGCUAGGCACUUGCUUAUCGCAUUUAGGCAAGUGCAUCUCAUAAGAAGAGAGACAUAAAAACCAGUGCCUCUUAAUUUUAACCAAUAAGUACCUGUUUUUUUUCAUUUAGAACAGGGAUAAAAUAGUCAACUAUGGAUUUAAUUUAUUUACUAAAUAAGACAUCUUAGAAUUAGGAGACUUUUCAGGAAACAUGUUUUCUUCUAUCACGGGAUGGCUGACAUAGGAUUUUUUAAGUUAAAAAAAGAAGCAAAAAGCUAUUAACAUAAACUGCCAUUCCUGCACCGGUUCAGAUGAGUAACAAAGACACAAUUUUUCUUUUUAACUAUUUCUUUUACCUUUAUCCCAUUUUAGUUGCUACCAUCUACUAUUUCCCCAUCUAUUAUCAUUAACAUACCAUUUUAAGGCUUUAUCUCUCUCGUGUUCUAUAUCAUCCAGAUAUUUUGUUUUUCUCUUUGCUCCUUCCCUUCCCUAUUUUAUUAUACAUCAACCUGAAUUUUACCUACACAACAUAAAUUUUCUCUCUCACUUCUUCUGUUUGAGCCUCGCUUUACUCGGGGUAUGCCUUUUUUGCGCCUUGUGCCUUAAGCUAAAAAGGACCUACCAACUUGAGUAUGCCUUUUACCUUUCCACUCACCAUGCUAUCAAGUGUUAAUAAUUUCAGUUGAUGCACUUGAAUUUUUGGAUUUUUAUGAUGAAGGAGCCACAAACUAGGUGGAGAGGACAGUAUCCGCAUAGCCAACCUCAACUAGUUUGGGAUUAAAACUUAAAUUUAAGCUGAGUUGAGUACUACAAUAUGGGACACAUGUGAGUUUCCUUUUAGCUACUGGUACUAAAGGUUUUCAAAUUGAUAAAAAGAAUUUAAAAAAAAUUAAAAAAAGAAAAAGGAUUUGAGCAUAAAUAUGCCAGUUACAACUCAACAUGCCAAAGAUAAAGCUGGACAACAUCUUCCAUCUUGCAAACCUACCUGAAUCCCCCUCAAAAUGACUUCUGCUAUUUCAAACUGAUUUUCAACUCUUGAGAUUUUGAGAAAUUUUUCUGUGCGACCUCAUGCAACCUUACAGGCAGUGCUUAUUUGGUUUACAGGUCAUGGUGAAUAAUUUAGAGUUAAAACAGCUACAAUUUUGUAAUUUUUUUUAUAUAGGCAUUUUUUUAAAAAAAAAGGGCAUAUCCAUAAU
This 1729-nucleotide unclassified non-coding RNA is filed under the name Hevea brasiliensis (rubber tree). Lineage: Eukaryota; Viridiplantae; Streptophyta; Magnoliopsida; Malpighiales; Euphorbiaceae. The record is from RNAcentral.